Molecule: unclassified non-coding RNA, 22 nt
Filed under: Mus musculus (house mouse)
Lineage: Eukaryota; Metazoa; Chordata; Mammalia; Rodentia; Muridae
Description: oocyte_clustered_small_RNA13535
Source: RNAcentral
AAGCCAGUGCGCAUGUGUCUCU